Gasterosteus aculeatus aculeatus (three-spined stickleback) is the source of this 1843-nucleotide long non-coding RNA. The record is from Ensembl. Lineage: Eukaryota; Metazoa; Chordata; Actinopteri; Perciformes; Gasterosteidae.
CAUUUGAUAAGACAAGUCGCUUCAUCUGCUCUCUUACACUUCUGGUUAGAUCGCUGUCUCAGUACCUGUACUGUGCAAUGACAAUAAAGUUGAAUCUAAUCUAAUCUCAUAUUUAAAUUUCUAUCCGCAGAAUGAUUAUCUGUAAAUCCACACUGGGUUGAAGGAGUCCUGCUGCUUUAAGUUGCAGCGUCACCAGCACGCUAUUGUGACGACGACCACAGAACACAGGCAGGCCGAUGAAAGGCCAAGAGAAAAAACAAUCACAUGUGUGUUUUAGUUUGUUGGGAACAGUGCGUGCGUGGUCAGCGUCGUACACGGGACUCCUCUACGAACAGAGGACCUAAACGGAGCUGAAAACAGGGCUUACGUGACUGAGGAAGGCCAACGCAACAACAGAGGCUUCGUUUGGUAGCUCGCGUCGAAAACACACGAAGCCCCGAGCCGAUGGCCGGACUGCAGAGUAGCUAACUGGGAAGUAACGGAACUUUGUUGUUUUGAUAUUACACAAUAAUACACCCAAUAUCAUCAUAAAUGUUUACUCAAGAUAAUAUCAGUAUUUCAGAUAAAUACCACGAUUAUCGUCCAUACUUGUGACCAUUGGAAAUUCACUUUUAGAACAUUCAGUAGCCUGUCUCUGGGCAGAAACAAUGUCCAGGUCUCAACUGCCUUUCUGCCAAAGACAUCGUCCCGACGGAAGCGUCUCACGGGGAGCCAGAGUCGCCGAGGCAACGCUUCAAUUCGCUGGAUAUGCUUUUUGUUUCACAUUCAAAUGGCUUUCGGGCCCAUUUAUAGGUGGGAUGGAGGCAGAAAUAGAUGAUAGAUACAACAAAAAACUCAAACUAUUCCAGAAAUACAGGUAGCGAGGAAAAUGUCUGGCAAAAAAAUAUUUCUGAUUUCACUUCCGUUAGCGCUUACAUCCUAUUUCUUUCCUUUUCUAUUUUUCAUGGUAUUGUAUUAGCGAUACUGCGUAGCAAACAAAGUCCUGUUUACUGUCCAAAGGGCAAACAAAAAACACUGAGAUAAGCUGCAAUAACAAGGAUUUCUUUUACUGCAUACACAUAAUAACCCCCACAUCCAGCUGUGCCCCGGCUGAGUGAACUGGCCCUGAACGCACACGGCCGCUUGCACUGUUAGCUCAUGAAGAAAGGGCACAACGAUUUCCACGCACCACACAUAGUGUUGUGUUACAACACUGAUGCUGCGGGGAGAAACCGCACAGCGGGCGCGACCAUGUUAACACGAGCACAACAAUGCCGCGUUGACUGGCCAAAAGGGCGCACAAAUCCCUCCGCCACUUGAAUGGCGUUGUUUAAAGCCUCUCCCUGAACCCGGCCGCUCCGAAGCCGCCAUCUUGUCUCCUUUCGCUCCUAAUUACCGCCGCCUCUCCAGAAAGUCCUCUGUUGCUCCAUCUGUCCCCUCAGCCGCUGACUGAGAUGCUCUAAUCACCUCGCGUAGCAGGGCUCGCAUGGGGGGGGGGGGGGGGGGACUACACAGCCACCAUACUGCCUCAAAUAUAAAGCCGGGGGCGGCGGGGGUGGCGGGUGCCAAUACCUCGCAGGGGGGGAGGAAAUAAACACUGGGCGCAGCCUUGUAUGGGAUAUGUUCAGUGACGUGCGCCUGAAAUGCAUCUAUCUUACGAUAACAGUUCUCCCCGACGCUAAUGGCUAAUGAGGUUCCGUAUGAAAAGGAUGUGGCAUAUGCCGAGCGCGCCGGCAGUUCAUCAGCCGCUGACAUCAAAAUGCCACCCGAAGGGACGGGACGGAGCUCGGUCGUGGUUUUGUUUUGGACCCGCACCGCAGGUUUACGUUAAUGUUUAAGAAUAUCAGAAAAUGUCUCUUAUUGG